CUAGUCGUGGCCGAGUGGUUAAGGUGAUGGACUAGAAAUCCAACGGGGUCUCCCUGCACAGAUUCAAAUCCUGCUGACUAUG
Non-coding RNA from Bos taurus (domestic cattle), 82 nucleotides. The record is from Rfam. Lineage: Eukaryota; Metazoa; Chordata; Mammalia; Artiodactyla; Bovidae.